Molecule: unclassified non-coding RNA, 21 nt
Filed under: Chlamydomonas reinhardtii
Lineage: Eukaryota; Viridiplantae; Chlorophyta; Chlorophyceae; Chlamydomonadales; Chlamydomonadaceae
Description: small RNA Cre_3159
Source: RNAcentral
UGCUAUGGAGCGUGGGCGUGG